This 505-nucleotide ribosomal RNA is filed under the name uncultured bacterium. Its description in RNAcentral is "partial 16S ribosomal RNA". It matches the Rfam family "Bacterial small subunit ribosomal RNA", at positions 28 to 507 of the family's 1533-position model. The record is from RNAcentral.
GACGAACGCUGGCGGCGUGCCUAAUACAUGCAAGUAGAACGCACAGUUUAUACCGUAGCUUGCUACACCAUAGACUGUGAGUUGCGAACGGGUGAGUAACGCGUAGGUAACCUGCCUGGUAGCGGGGGAUAACUAUUGGAAACGAUAGCUAAUACCGCAUAAUAUUAAUUAUUGCAUGAUAAUUAAUUGAAAGGUGCAAUUGCACCACUACCAGAUGGACCUGCGUUGUAUUAGCUAGUAGGUGAGGUAACGGCUCACCUAGGCGACGAUACAUAGCCGACCUGGUAGGGUGCUCGGCCACGCCGGGACUGGGACACGGCCCAGACUCCUACGGGUGGCAGCCGUAGGGAAUCUUCGGCGAUGGACGCAAGUCUGACCAAGCCACGCCGCGUGGGUGAAGAAGGUUUUCGGGUCGUAAAGCUCUGUUGUAAGAGAAGAACGGGUGUGAGAGUGGAAAGUUCACACUGUGACGGUAUCUUACCAGAAAGCGACGGCUAACUACGUG